CAGCAGCCGCGGGAACACGUAGGUGGCAAGCGUUGUCCGGAAUUAUUGGGCGUAAAGGGCUCGCAGGCGGUUUCUUAAGUCUGAUGUGAAAGCCCCCGGCUCAACCGGGGAGGGUCAUCGGAAACUGGGAAACUUGAGUGCAGAAGAGGAGAGUGGAAUUCCACGUGUAGCGGUGAAAUGCGUAGAGAUGUGGAGGAACACCAGUGGCGAAGGCGACUCUCUGGUCUGUAACUGACGCUGAGGAGCGAAAGCGUGGGGAGCGAACAGGAUUAGAUACCCGCGUAGUCCCUGUCUCUUAUAC
RNAcentral lists this ribosomal RNA (301 nucleotides) under uncultured bacterium. RNAcentral describes it as "partial 16S ribosomal RNA". It matches the Rfam family "Bacterial small subunit ribosomal RNA", at positions 509 to 807 of the family's 1533-position model. The record is from RNAcentral.